AGAACGAACGCUGGCGGCAUGCCUAACACAUGCAAGUCGAACGCUUCCGGGGCUUCGGUCGCGGAGGAGUGGCGCACGGGUGAGUAGCGCGUGGGAACCUGCCCUGUUGUGGGGGAUAACCGAGGGAAACUUCGGCUAAUACCGCAUACGCCCCGGGACUUGGUCUUCGGAUUAGGUCUGGGGGGAAAGAUUGAUCGCAGCAGGAGGGGCCCGCGUCGGAUUAGCUGGUUGGUGGGGUAACGGCUCACCAAGGCGAUGAUCCGUAGCUGGUCUGAGAGGAUGAUCAGCCACACUGGGACUGAGACACGGCCCAGACUCCUACGGGAGGCAGCAGUGGGGAAUAUUGGACAAUGGGGGCAACCCGUGAUCCAGCAAUGCCGCGUGAGUGAUGAAGGCCUUAGGGUUGUAAAGCUCUUUCGCCCGCGACGAUGAUGACGGUAGCGGGAGAAGAAGCCCGGCUAACUUCGUGCCAGCAGCCGCGGU
This 483-nucleotide ribosomal RNA is filed under the name uncultured bacterium. RNAcentral describes it as "SSU rRNA". It matches the Rfam family "Bacterial small subunit ribosomal RNA", at positions 26 to 521 of the family's 1533-position model. The record is from RNAcentral.